This 113-nucleotide transfer-messenger RNA is filed under the name Nitrospirota bacterium. RNAcentral's name for it is "partial transfer-messenger RNA". It matches the Rfam family "transfer-messenger RNA", at positions 1 to 122 of the family's 374-position model. Rfam says of the family: Bacterial tmRNA, also known as 10Sa RNA or SsrA, is named for its dual tRNA and mRNA-like properties. Its role is to liberate the mRNA from a stalled ribosome. To accomplish this part of the tmRNA is used as a reading frame that ends in a translation stop signal. The record is from RNAcentral. Lineage: Bacteria; Pseudomonadati; Nitrospirota.
GGGGGUGACUGGCUUCGACGGGAAUCAAGAGGUCAACAGAGCGUGUCGAGCUCUCGGAGUCUCGUAAAACCUUCGGGAAAACAUUAGUUGCCAACGAUAAUUUGGCCCUCGCA